AUACUCUGGUUUCUCUUCAGAUUGAAAAAAUCUUUCGCCUUUUACUAGAGAUUUCCGUGGGGAGGAGUGCCCUGAGUUUCGAUCCAAUUUUUUGAUGCCCCGCUCCGGCAAGGUC
Non-coding RNA from Alligator sinensis (Chinese alligator), 115 nucleotides. The record is from Rfam. Lineage: Eukaryota; Metazoa; Chordata; Crocodylia; Alligatoridae.